UACGAAGGGGGCUAGCGUUGCUCGGAAUCACUGGGCGUAAAGGGUGCGUAGGCGGGUCUUUAAGUCAGGGGUGAAAUCCUGGAGCUCAACUCCAGAACUGCCUUUGAUACUGAAGAUCUUGAGUCCGGGAGAGGUGAGUGGAACUGCGAGUGUAGAGGUGAAAUUCGUAGAUAUUCGCAAGAACACCAGUGGCGAAGGCGGCUCACUGGCCCGGUACUGACGCUGAGGUGCGAAAGCGUGGGGGAGCAAACAGG
Molecule: ribosomal RNA, 254 nt
Filed under: uncultured bacterium
Lineage: Bacteria
Description: partial 16S ribosomal RNA
Rfam family: Bacterial small subunit ribosomal RNA
Source: RNAcentral